This is a non-coding RNA of Castor canadensis (American beaver), 22246 nucleotides long. The record is from RefSeq and is a predicted model, not a curated record. NCBI's taxonomy places the organism in Eukaryota, Metazoa, Chordata, Mammalia, Rodentia, Castoridae.
UAAAAAGGGCUGGGGUUUUGGCUCAAGUGGUAGAGUGCCUUCUUAGCAAGCUCAAGGCCCUGAGUUCAAACCCCAGCACUGCCAAACAACACAUAAACAAAACCCUUAGAAACACUAAGCAGUGUCAUCUCUCCUUUAAAAAAAUACAUCUAUGUGAACUAGCCAUGUAGUUUUAUUUCCAGGUAUCUCCUUUCCACACUGCUUGAAGUACUCAGAACAUCAUUCACUAUACUGCUUGCUGACUGAAUGAUAGGCAGUUUACUCACCACUUCUGUGCCUUGUGUCAGUGUCCUAGUCUGUGAGGUAGGGAUAAUAGGGUAAAACUAAUAGUCCUUACCUUGGGGUUAACGUGAGGUUGAAUAAGAAAUGCUGUUAGGUCUGUGACUGGCAAAAUGGCCUGUUACACAAGGAGCACUCAAAUAACUCUACCUCUUAUCUCGCUGUACUUAAUUAAUGUAGUCAUCCCUUGGUGUCCAUGGACUGGUUCCACAACACACCGGCCCUUGCAGAUCUGCAGUCUAAGAUGUCAAGAAAUUGGUGUGAAAUAGCAGACAGCCUAUGUACAUCCUCCUGUUUAAGUUAGUUCUAGAUUACUUGUGAUAGCUAACACAAGGGAAAUGCUAUGUAAACAGUUACUAUAUAUUAUUUGGGGAAUAAUGACAAGAAAACACUGCACAUAUUCAGUACAAACACAGGUUUGUUUCAGAUAUUUUCAGUGUACAGUUGGCUGCAAGUGUAGGUAUGGAGCCAUGGGUAGAGGAGCGGCUGUGUGUACUUUCUGAUCUUUGUAGUCUUUUUGCUGAGUCCAGUGGCUAUCUAUCCAUACUCAGUUCCUCUCAUAUUGAAUAGGGUUAGGAACACUGACCUAUGGAAAAUGACAUAUUUUUCUGUGCCACCUAAUGUCCUUUUUAUUUUUGUCUAGAACUUUUUUUCUCCCUGUAUAUGAGUUUUGAAGACCUUUCUCAUAUUUAGAUUUUGCUUGGACUUUAUCUCCUCUAGGAGAUUUCUCUUUCCCCUAGCCCUAGCCACUUACUUAACUGUCCUGCCUCUUUGCGCUUACAGUUCACCAAGCUCAUAACUCUGUAACUGCACUUGGAACACGAAUCAUAAAUCUCCCUUCAUCUCUGCCUUUGAGCUUCGAGCCUGGGCUUUACAGCUUUGUGCUCUUACCUCUUGUGGGAAACUCUUCAUGGGUAGUAGAGCCUCCAGAAAUGUGUACUAUGUAGUUCUUAGCUGAAGGGAUGAGCAUGGACUUUGCUCGUAGGCACCUUACUAUUUGUUUGACAAGAUAAUAUGUACACCUGAGACGUGGAGAUGAACAAGAAAGUGCAGUAGUGUUAUCUAUAUUUUUAGAUUUUUUUUAGUUUAUAAUUAAUUUUCAAAAACCUAAGAUUCUUUUUCUAGCAGGUUAACAGUUGUUUACGUAUUGCACACAUGGGCAUUAGUGUUCACAGAUACAACUACAUUGAUUUAGGUCAGCCAGACCAGACUGUGAGUAGCAAAAUCCAGUUUUAUAAACUAGGUUUUGUGACUUUAGGACAGAAAUAGAAAAUAAAACUUGGUUACUCUUUCUGGCAUUUACACAUUCUUUGUUCUUUCUGUUUUUAUUUACUUAAUUUUUUUAUUGUAAAUUUUAAGCAUAAUAUAUCAAAUUAGCAUUUUGUAUGCACGUAUGCAUGUACAUAUCAAUCAAUACUUUAUCCAUGUUGUGUCAUUUUAUGUUAAAACAUAUCUCAGACAACCUGUUAUUUUAUGUGUAAAUUUUUAGUAGUCUCCAACAGAUAGGAACCUGUUUUAAAUAUAACUCCACUUACAAAUCUAUCAGACUUGACAGUAAUUGCAGUGUGUUACUUAAUAUGUACUUUGUGUUCAGUUCCAUUGCAGUGGAAAAGAGCAGUGUCUUUACUAUGGGUGUAUCAUUCAUGUUGGCAUCGAAACAGAACUUGAGUAUUCCAUUUGGAUGCAGUGUCUCUUAAGAUGCUUUUCAUCUGUAACCAUUUGUGUUUCUGUGUUAUUCUUAGGGCUUUAUUUGUUAGGAAACCCAGAUCAUAGUCCUGGAAAAUGUCUGAAAUUCUUAAUUCAUCUGAUUGCUUUGCUAUCAGGUCACUUAUUUGUUCAUCUUAUUUUCUGUAAACUAGAAAUUAGAGCUACUGUUGAGUUCACCUAUAAUUUAUUUACUAUUAUUUAGUGAGAACUCUUUCCACAUGGUCCUGUGUACUUUUGAUAUAUCAUACCAGGAAGAAAUUGUGGAUUAUUUUUUAGCAGCUGAUUCUUUAAGAAUUGUAGAAUAAUAACUUUUAAGCAUACUUUUCCUGCUACAUUUAUUGCUAGAAAUUCUCUUAUAAAUAACUUUCCUUUAAGUGUUAUUUAGCAACUGCAAAAUACAUUUUAUAUCAGAUAAGUAGGGAAAAUGCAUGCCUUUUGACUUAUCAACUUUCAGAAUUAAAUAUUACCUUCUAAUCUAAGAUUAUUUUAAAUUAACAUUCAUAGUAUUCUAAUAAAUUUAAAAACUUUUCUUCUGGGAAAAUUCUUUGAGUUGUUUCUAAUCUUGUUAAAACUAAUAUAUUUUGAUAACAUUACUUCCCAUGGUGCUAAGAAGUUCACUUUCUUUUUUCUUUAUUGUAAAUAUGCCUUAAUGAGUAUGUUGUGGAUUUUAGAAUAAUUAUUUAGGUACUCAUUGCUAUUCUAAGUCUUCUAGAUGUUUUCUGAAGAAUAGAAACAGCUCUCAUAUUCAUGGUCAGAUAUUGAUAGAACUGUUACAAUUAUUUGAUAUUAGAGGAGAAGGCCAAGUCUUGACAUCAAAUUAAAGUAUAUUUAUAAUUAUAAAUUAGAAAUAGGAAUGCUUUAAAUUAUGCUACUAAACCUUUGCUAACAUGUUUUAUGAUGUUGCAGAGAAGUGCUGGGAAGAAAGAGAUCUUUAAAAGGAUGGAUAUUCUGUUUGCUUUGCUAAAGUUCUUAUCAGGAAAUUUGAAAGGAAUAUAAAAAAGUGAAUGUUAUUUCUGUAACUCUAAGGAUUCCAUUGAAUUUAACUUUGAAGAUAAAAAGUGGAUGUUUAUUUAUGUCCAUUGAAAGACUUGAGGAAAUAGUUCCAUCUGAACAGCACAAAAAUUGACAAAAUUUUGUUAACAUAUUGACUAUUUUAAUCUUUUGAAAAUGGAAGGCGUGCAUCAAGGUGACAGUAGUAAAAUUCUAAAGAGUUUGUGAAAAGUAGACGUUAUGCAACAGGAAAAGAAUACCAGGGGAAAAACUGACAGAGUACAACAACAGGAAGAUUAGUCACUUCUGGAAGGAAAGAAAGGUGGGGGUUGGGGUAGGGGAAGAAGUAUUUUAAACAGGAAUGUGAACUGGAAGUGCCUGUGCUAAAAGGCAUAUGUGAGCUCAUUUCAGAACUAAACUGAGUUUUUACAAAGGAACACUGGUAGCAUCAAAUAUCAAAACAUGAAGUUUGUAUUAAUAAUAAAUAGAACAAAAUGGAACAAAUUUUCUGUUAGGCCUUAAGAAAGCCUGGAAAAAUAAAAGACUGAUGUUUAUUCUUUAAUGGAGCAGAUUUGGCUUAACUUAGAUAGCAUUGUCAAAUGUGAAUAAAGAAAAUAUAUUUCUUUCAAAGCAAGCUGAAAUUCUAUUAUCCUCAAGUGUCAAAUAAAAAGAAGCAUUAUGAUGUCCUGGCUAUGACUGCUAUUCAGUUUGAAGUAAUUUUCACUUCUGUAGUUCAUUCAUUUGACAAAUAAAGGAGAAGCAAUCUCCAAAUAUUUUAAAAAUGAUUUCUUAAAAAUAUAGAUUGUAACUCACUAUAUGAGAGAGAGAGAGAGAGAGAGAGAUAAGAAGAGAGAGAAAGAAAUUGAGAGAGAGAGAGAUUGAGAGAUUGAGAUUGAGAUAGUGUGUUGAUGAAGUCCCAUGGAUCUCUGGUUUCUAUUCUGGGUUCUAGUGACAUUCAUGAAACAGAUUUUGCUGGUCAUAUGUUCAACCACUUUGAAUGCUCUCACCCAUCAAAUGGUAAUAAUAACAUACCUCCUUCAAAACUGUAACAAGAGCAAACCUAAUUAGACAUGUGUAGAAGCCUUACAAAGUGGUGGUAUUUUGUUCCCUUAACAGACCUGUAGUCAAGUAUUGAACCCAACCUAAGCUUGAAUGAUGCAUUUCUAAUUAAUACUUGGGAGACAGAUGGACAACUGCAGUGGAAGUUCUUUUGAUGCCUUAGUUAUUCAUAACUGUCUGUUUUGUGGGUCCAUACUGGACAAAUGGAAAAUUGUUACUUCUCGUGGUCAUCCCUUAGUUACUCCAGUAGGUAGCAAAUCAUAUACAAUGAAUUUUAAAUAAAACAGAUAAAUCUAAGCAGAUAACUCUUAAGAUUAUGUAAGCAUGACACCAGUACAAUCUACCUUAUCAGGAAAAGGGUAUACUAUUUUCACUUAAAGACAGAAAAUGAUUUCCAUAUACUGAAAAAGAUUUAUUUGAUGUAACUCUGUGGAAUAUGUCAUUCUGUAUUAUUGAAUUCAUGGAAAUGUAAUGAAUUCAUGUAGCAAGGCUUUCCUAUUGAUUUUGUUACAAAUCUAAACACUUCCAUAGUCCAUGUGCACAGAAUUUGCUGAGAUAAAUUCAGUCUCCUGUAUAAAGUAGCCAUCUAACACAGACACCAAAUACUGCCUUAUUUAAAAACCUUUUUCACCCUCUCACUCCUUCCCCUCCCCCAGACAUAACUGAAUAGGAAAUGUUUAUUUUCCAAACUAUAGAAGACAAAUGUUAUCUAAAACACUGAGAGUUCUUCCUUUUCCUCCUUUGGAAACACUAAGUCAUAUUGAGUCACUUGUGGAUUUUAUUUAGCCAGUUGUAUUUAAAGCAUAAAAUUGUGAGGACAAAAUGACUCAGGAAUUUGUAAUGUACAGUUAAAACUUUUCACUUUUAGGUCACUAGUUCAUACACAAAUGGCUUAGUGUUAGGUAAGGAUUGGUGGAUUGUUUGGUUAUCCUCUGGGGAAGCUGGCUGUAACCUCACAUCUUCUGACUUAAGUGUUCCCUAGUUUGUUUAUGAUUGUAUUUAUUUUCAGAUAAGCAUGUUCAAGGAAUUAAAUAAAAGGGAGAGAACCUGCUAAGAGCUGAUGAAUAAAGAAGCUGUUGCUUCUUACUCAUCCAUAAAUACUGCUUUUACUGAUAAUCAUUUUAAAAUAAGUGAAGUGUUAAAAUGAUCAGAAAGUUAUACUUGAAUCUUACUAAUUACACUGUCAUUGAUAUCAGCAAGAAUAAGAACUAACUGCAGUGGAUAAGUUGAGAAAUCAGAAUUGUAUCUCUGUCUGUAUCUAUAUAAGUAUAUAUUUGGAUGACUGUGUAAAUGACUCAUGAUUCUUACUAGUGUAUCCCUUAAUGCCAAUGUCAUAAAAAUUGUUCAAGGGGCUGAGGCAUGAGGACUGGAAGUGCAAGGCCAGGUUGGGUUACAUAGGGAAACCUUGUCUCAAAAAUAGUUUAUUUUUCAGAUCCAUCUUAUAUAAAAGCCUACAGGGUUACUUUGUUUAUCUCACCCAAAAGAUGUCAGGGUGUGCUUUUUAACAUUUUUAAGUAAUCUGUGUAUAUUCAGCAUUAACAUCGGAUACUGAAACAUGUAAAUCUCUUGUUGUCAGCCAGAGAAUAAAUCAGACUCUAGUGGGUGAGAUAUGUAAUACCCAGAGAAUGCUACAGAGAAGAUGCUUGUCUAGACAUUGGGUACAGAACUGUCAUUUGCCUCCUAUGGUAAUGUUUGAUUUUUAAAAUAAUUGAGAGUAAAUAAACUCUAAGUGACACAUUACUUCAAGCUAUUCCACAUGGGCACAUGAAUGAAUUAUUCUUGUUCAAUGCUGCCAGUGCCUGCAUUUCUUAAACCUUAUGGCUAAAUUGUAACAGAAGGAAAAUGCCUUCACCAUAAUUCUUCAAAUAUUCUUUCUGAAGUUUUAAUGGAUUUCUUUGUGCUAAUUUAUAUUAGGUUAGGCCUAAAAAAACAGCUGAAGAUAGCCAAAGUUAGUCCAGAGAGUUCUAGGCUUCCUGAUAAAUUAAAGAAAUAGGUUUGUUUCUGAAUUCUUAAUUGGCUUUCUACUCUUAAAUUUAUGGCCUUAGCUGUUUGAUUUGAACUGUCUGAUGACUUUGGUCCUCAUUCGCUAAUUCAGGGAAGGUCAUUUUAGCUGCUGAAGGGAGUACUUUGGUCCAAGGUUGGUUUCUGACUGUGUCUCAUGGGAUGACCCUUGGAUUUCUGAAGCUGUCUCUGAACUCAUAAUUAUUGUCUAAGCCAAUCACUUAAUUAGAUUUAUUUGCCAAGAUGGUAAUGAAAUAUAAAGUAUGACUUGCAGCAAUGGUAGUCCUCCCCAACAGAAUGACAGGACACUUCAAUGGUAGUAAUGUUUCUGCCCUGGUAAUACCUCUGAAGAUAUGACACACUUGGGAAAAAAUGUGAAAACUGAAUUUGUCCUUGACACUCUUAAGACCUGAGAAUCACAUAAAACAUUUGUUAAUUCCUAACACUAGUAAGUAUCAUGAAGAGGAAGGCAUGCACAUGAUAUAAGCUUGUGUACAUGUUUAUAAAUACUAGGUUUUUGAAAAGGCACAGUCCGUGCCAGAUCUGCCCCCAGAGUUCUGGUCAGACAUGAUGUUUCUUACUCCCUUUUUUGAAGAACUAUAAUGCUCCAUCAGCUUUCAAGAGGCAAUAGAGGGGAGAGCCACAGCUUCGAGGUCUACAUUCCCUAGGUCCAAAUUUUACCUUUGCUGUUUGUUAUUUGCAUGACCUUUCCCAGCCUGCCUCAAAUCAUCAGGUACACCUUAUCAAAUUGAAGCAUAUCUACCUUGUUGGUUUGUUGUGAAUGUUAAAUAAGUUAGUAUAGGUAAAGGUAUUGCAGACUUUUAUGAUGUACAAUAAGUACUGUUGACAUAAUAGCUAUUGUUAAAUCUUAAUGUUGAUGUAAACAUUUUGUAAUGUGUAUGUUGUCAAUAAGUUUUCAAUACCGAAGUAAAUAAAAGCCAGAAUUAGUGUUGCAGUUUUAAUGAGGUGACUUAGAGCUCUAGCUCUGGAACGUUACAACUUGGAUUCAUAUUAUUGUGACCUGAAGAAGCUAUAUGACUUAGUGGGUCCUCAUUUUCCAAAAAGGGGUAGUACUAAUAUUUAAUGUUGUGUGGUGCUGUGCAGAUUAAAUGGGAUAACACAUAUCACACAUUUGAUACUUGGUCCUUAAUGAGUUGCCAGUGUGAGUUACCUUUGUUCUUAUUCCUUCUUGUAAAGUACUUACACGUGAGAAACAUACUAAGAAUCUGCGUAUAUAGGGUUUUCAUUUUUGUUAAUGAGGGUUAUUAAUCUCUGUUCUGCACAGAACACAUGCAUGGUGUUUAUUCUCUAAUAAGUAAAUGAUUAGGAAAAGAUUAAUUUCUAAAAACUUAUCCUUUGUAGAGCUACUUAAGUUACAGUUAAAAUCGAGUUGGUACUCUUUGUAGAAUUUUAGCUUUGGAUAAAUUAGUUAGAUCAACGUUUUAGUAAUGUUAUUACAUGCUUAGAUCUGUUAUCAGUCAUGUUUUAGCCAGUUGUUAACAUGAAUGUCAGUAAAAAAGAAAAACUGAUCAAUAAUGUCAAAAUGGAAAUGAAAUUUGGGAGCAAAGAAGUCAUUCAGUGUUUAUCUGUAAAGAUCCUGAGACUUGGCAUUUCCCCAUCUACUUAAGUGUUGUAAAGAUUGUGAAAACAUUAGCAUUUGCAAAUAAAACAGGGAUUCUAUGUUAGGAAGGCUAAUGAUUAUGAAAAAAUGACCAGAAUUGCUUUGUGAAAUUCUUUCUUUCAUUAACAGGAAAUUUUAGGGCAAUGCAUUUUCUUGUUGAAGUAGGCAGGGUGAAGAACAAUGUUAGAAGAAUGGAUCUAGGCUUUCCUGCAAUAAAGUAACCUUUUAAGAGCAGAUUUCUUCAUAGAAUUAGAGACUUAGAAUUUCAUAAUAACAAUAUACACAUCACCUUGUUUGGAGAGCAGAUUUUAAGUAUGAUCAAGAAAACACCUGUUUGACAUUGUGGAAAAGGUGCAUGGAAAAGUCUGUCUGGGUGUAGAAUAAACAAGAUUGCUUUGGCUAGCGUCCUGCAGUGAGGUGGGUCUGAAUGGUCUGCUCAGCUUCUGCCGCUGCUGCUGCUGCCGCUAGUGAUACUGAGGUGGAACGUGGUUGACCUAGCAUAUCCUUUACUCUUGGUGCUGCAGCAGUACACAGGAAGUGUUGUUUAAGGGAACGCUCUGGAUCCUUUUCAUGGCCCCAUGGCAAGAAGAAGCAGUAUCUUAUCUAUUGAAGAUGAAAGUGUGGAGUUGGCUAAUGGAUGCUGGUGAGUGAAUAAGGCAAACGGGGAUCCAGUUUACUAAGAUGCCUGUGGGGUAGGCAUCCUCUCUUUAGGACUGUGAUGGCGUCCAUGGAAACAUGGCCUCUGGCAGUCUGUUCCUCAGCAUUUGGUUUUAGAAAGGAAUCAUGGUUUUUACAUUAAUGAACUGAUCUAUAACCUGUGUGUGUUUCAUAAAUAAAGUUACUCCAAACUUUACUACUUAAAGCCAUUAAUCAUAAAAUUAAGUCAAUGGAGCAUAGCUCUCCAUACACAUUACUUGAAAUCUACUUUUGCUCUUUACUUGACUCUCAGUAAUUAAAAACAAAGACCUUCUAGUUUUUUCUUUCAUUUCUAAAUGAAUUAUUUAUUUUUUCACAGUAUAUUUUAUUUUUAAAAAACUGGUACUGAUUUUUCUAAUUCCACCACAUUGUGUAAAGAGCUUACGAAUAAAUGAAUGAACUCCUCUGUUUCAAAUCACCAGCAUUUAUUUAUACAAUUUUUGUGUCGUCUUAGUUUUGUUCAUAUUCCUAACAACUGAUUAUCAGGGGGCUGGGUGGCUCACAGUACUGUGUAGGUAGAGAUUAGGCUCAAGGCCAGCCAGGGCUAAUUGUUUGUAAGACCCAUUUCAAUCUGUAAGCCAGGUGUGGGAGCAGCCUUGCCUGUGGUCCCACCUAUGCGGGAAGUAAGGUAGCUAGGAGGAUCACAGACUGAGGUUGGGCAAAACCACAAGACUCUACCUGAAAAAUAAGCAAAGCAAAGAGGCCUGCCUUGUUGUGAUUCAAAUGGUAGCGCAGUUGCCUAAUAAGCAUGAGGCCCUGAGUUCAGACCUUGGCACAGCUAAAUAAAUAAGUAAAAAUAAAUAAGUAAAUAAAUAACUGGUUAUCAUAAGUGGGAUUGAAAAUAUAGGUGCAGAAAUACAAACUAUAGUUGAGUUUUUAGAUUUCAAGUCAAACUAUUACAUUUAUAAAAGGUAAGCUUCGUUUUUUGUUUGUUUGUUUGUUUGUGUUUUGUUUUCUUCUGUAGGGGCUAGCCUAAUCUGACGGCAUCAAAAUCUCUCUCACUGGUGUGAUGUUUUAAAAUUUUAAGUUUUACUUCAAACUACCAUCCAGAGAUUCUAAAACAAUAUUUUUAAAGGGAAUUGAGAUUCUUCAUCCUCCCUUCAUAAGAAUCCCAGUUUCUUUAAAUUUUAAAUAAUAAACAUUUGGGCAGUAUUGACUGUAUUGUAGUGUAGGUUUUAAUUUUUCCUUUCCAUUUAUUAAUUAUUUUUUGUGGUACUGCAGCUCUUUCCUAGGGCAUUGUGAAUGCUAGACAGACACUCUACCACUUGAGCCAUGCUGCCGGGCCUGGUCUUAAUGUUUAAACAGUGUCUGAUCCUUAGUGACUUAUCAGGCAUAAGUGAACUUUCCUUAAGAAAAAGUUGCAUUUAUUUCAUAUGUUGUUAACAAUAUAUAUUACAGAAGUCAGUAGCUAUUUUUAAAUUUUUCAAAUAAUUGCAAAAUCGUUUGAGCCAUUUGACACAAAGUAAAAUAGAUAAAGUAAUACUAUAAAGUGUGAAGUAUUAGAUAAAGUAAAACUUUCAUUGCCUUAGAUUUGAAGAAAAUCUAAGUUGGUAUUUGAAGUGAAGGAUUACAGACACAUAACUGCCAGUAGGCAAUAUAUUUCUUCACACCUAUUUUUAAAGUAAAUAUAAAAUACUCUGCAUGUUUAAUUUUCUCUUAGUUUUGAGAAGUGAGUGCCUAAAGCAUUGGAGUUGUUUUCAUUUGGUACAUACUACUGACAGAAUUCAUACUUUUUUUCUAACUUAUUUCAUCCAGUUUAUCAAAGCAGAAUGUAUUAGACAUCUGUUCUUGUAGUUGUCUAAUAUUUAAUCUUCAGUGGCUCAAGAUGAGUUCCUGGAGGCUGUGAGCAAUUGAAGAGCUGUGAAUAGUGGUUAACAAGCUAUUAGCACCUCUAUGCAAAGUGCAACAUCUUGAAGCACAACCAGAUUCAGGAGAACCUUAGAUGAGUGAGUCCUUUUUCUGAUAGUGCUCCAAAACUUAAGUUAAUCGCUUUUCUCUCUUCCUCCUUUUUUCUUCUCCCCUUUUUGUCUCCCAUCUCUUGCUUUUCUCAUCUCUGUGCUCUUUGUCCACUUCCCUCUUUUUUCCUCAAAUUCUCCUUCUCUUAUCUCAUUAGAUUCCUUCAAUCACCCUUCAUCUGAUGAUAGUAGAAAGUGAUGUUUUUGAUAAAAUGUGUGUUGUCCUUUUAAAAACAAUUUUAAUUACCUUUCAACUUAAAAACCAAUUGAGUUUAACAUCUCUGUCUUUGCAUUUUCUACUCUAAUUCUAGACAAGUAUGCCUGUUAAUCUCUUGCCCUGUGAAUCAGUGGUCUGGGAUUGUUUGUAUUUGUAAUUAACAUAAAGGUUGUGAUGAUGGAAUAUGACAUCUUACCCCAUUUUUCAACUUUAGUCUCAGUACAGUGGGCAUGCUAUGAUAUAUGUUCCUUAUUCUUCUUUCUAGAACUAGAUCUUCAGACCUCCUCAUCCGUGUUUGGCUUUCUUAUGGGGUGCGUCAAUGCCCUAUUGCCAUGUAUUUUGUUGCAUUUCUCUGUUGCUUCUUGUGUGCUGGCAGGGAAUUUUGGUGAUUGUUUUCAAGCGCUACCUGAGCUCUAUGCUAGUUGUUCCCUUUCUCCCAGGGUCUUGUGCUGCGUGGUCAUGUCUCUGUUUCCUUGGGCCUGCCCAUUGACAGAACCUUGUUUCCUUAUGGCUGCCUCUAAACGUUUGUGACGAUGGGGAAUAUUUCUCCUCCUGCUGCUACAAUUGAGCCCCGUGGUGGGAACCAUAUUGCCCUCUACACUUGCUUUCAGUUGUUAAGGCUUCCCAAGCUUUGGCUGUGGCUCAGCAGUCCUGCUGUCAAAACCCUGAAGCUUUUCUAGCCUGGACACUCAGUGGUAGCAGCAGGUGUUGGGAUUUCUCCAAGUUCCUAAGACCCUGGGAGGAAGAAAGUGGCUGUUGACAUAGACUGCAGGAGUUUUCAGAGCAUCAAGAAACCUCUCCAGAAGAUGUGGAAAGGUAAGAUUUGGAUUUCUCUAGAAGCUAUUCUAGAAGCUUUUUCAGACACUUCUAGCUGUGGAUUUAAUGUAAAUGGGUUUUAGUAACGAGUAUCCUUGGAGAACUAACUCUUUGAUAAUAGAGUCAAUAUAUAAGUCCUAGAUUGGAGAACUUAUUAAGAACAUUUUUUAAAGAAAUUUUGUGUGCUUAUGUUUCUGUUCUAUUUCACUUAUAUUAAGUCUGGCAUUGAACAGAUUUUUAAAAUAUUUCAUUCCAUUCUUGAAUUUGAACUUAUGAAGCAGAUCAUGUUUUUCUCGUUCACAAUCUGCAUCAUGUAUGAGAAAUAAGAGAAUUCUUAUCGAUUUAAGAUGGAUAAAAAUAAAAUAGAAUUUUUUUAACCAAAUGCCUAUAUUUUAUUUACUUCUCCAUUAAUAUUUAAAACUAAAAAAAUUAAAAUGAAUAUAUUUUCAGCUUCUCCAGACAGAUUCCUGAACACAUAAUUAAUUCAAAAGGAAUCAGAAGAACACUUAAAUCUUGGCUGUUCUAGGAUAGAUUAUUAUCCUUUGUCAGAAUUACUGCCUGGCAUUCUAAUAAUGUAACCGUCUCUUUUAGGGCUUUAUUUUCAGUUUUAUACAUGGAUUAUUCCACCUGCCUCUACUGUUGGGGAAAAUCAUUCGUGUAGCUUAUCUGGAUGGAGGAUCUGUGUUGGGAUGCUGGUGCUGGUUUUUGCAUGAGGGAUGGGGAGAGAGAUCACAUCUUAAAAUGAAUAAUGAAAGUUAUCUUGUGUGCAUUAUGGCUUUGUGCCAGCUUUAUUUAUAUGUCUUUAUUCUUUAUCCUGCAUCUGUUCAUGAAGUGGUAUUAAGACACCUUUUCCAAUAGGUUAUCAUUAUCAGCCUGUCACUUCAUGUCUUUUUUAUGUCUUUGCUUUCUUUUCAGUGUGAACUUAAUCUUUUCAUUGAUUCCCUAUAGCUGGAGUCAAGGCUUUUAACUUUAUGCCACAAAUGCCACAUUGAGUCCCUUUAAUUUUAAUAUCCCAAAGUGUAUCAGAAUUUAAGAAGUAAAAAAAUGUUUACAAAUAACUAAAAAAUGAAAAUCUCUGUAUUUGACAGUAUGUAUUUAGGAUGCUGUUUCUCAAUAAAUUUUAUUUUCAUAGACAGUUCAUUUAAUUUCAAAGUAGGUUCAUGCUAUAAGAGAAGCAAAAGAGGAAAUAUCCUAAUAUCCUAAAUCUAGAGAAUUUUUUUCUCACUGUUGUUCUGUAUGUAAAACAAGGUUUCAGGAUCUUCAGUGUUGACACCUAGUAUUUUACCCCUUGAGAUUUUACCUGUAAAGAAGAUAUGACAUCCAUAUACAGGAAUUGAACUGAAUAAGGGUAUGACAUCAUCUCUUGCAUUAAAUCUUUGGACUUUUUUAGUGUUGUAGCAGUAAUGACUGACUUUUUUUCCCUUCCAAGUUCAGUGUUUUGUUUUUUUAAGUAAAGUGUUAGAAUAUAUGAAAAUUUUGUGCCUAUUUCUCUUAAUACAUUAAAAAUAGUGGAAGUUUGGAAAUUGUCAAUUCUUUACAAGACCAGGCUGAGACCUGACCACACUAAUGUGAUCUGUUCAACAUAAGUAAUUCCAAGUUUGGUGACCAUUAGCAAACUGGCAUUUGCAAUUAAAUCCACAGACAUAAGUUUUCCAAUAGGGCCUUAUUCUCAUAAUGCCAGCCAAUGGUCUAAGUGGAGCUAAGCAAACCCAAAGUUCUGUGGACCUUUUGACAGUUGAUAAGCACCUGGGCUUCCUACACCACAAACUGCAAAAGCCAGCGACCAGACACCACUUGUUCUCGCAUAACCAGUGAUCCUGCCAAAAGUAACCAGUUCUGGGUGGCCAUAGUUAAGUCAAUUUAAAAACAUGAGUAGGCACUGUCCACUCUGUCCACCCAGGAGCUACACCAACUCUGUACCCAAACUGAUUUACUGAAGGUCUGUGCUGUUUGAUGAGGGUACACAAGACAUAGGAAAUUUAUUUUAUAAAACAAGAGGAUUUAUAAAAGUAUUUACACUUGAAAUGUCCAAGUUUUAUUCUCUCUAUACUCCAAAUGAUGGCUAAAUGGAAUGUUUUUAAGUCUUUAUAGUACCACAAAGUGGGUAAUUGACUUCAUAUGUAAAAACAGAAAAGUGAAAUUUUAAUGCUUUUAUUUGUAACAUUUAUGAGCUUACAAUUUUAAAAAUGAACCUUUUUUCACCUUUUUGAAAAGUAACUUGAGGCAGAGACUGGAGGGAGGAGUCUGCAUUAUUCUCACACUUGUCUUGAGUGCAUUUCCUUUUUAUUUCUCCAGAAUGGUUACAUUCUCUUGAGAGGGAAAUCAAACUAAUCUAAGAAUGUAAGCUCUGAAUUCCCUUUUUUAGCAAGUUCAAUUUGAAAGUAAUUUAAGUAUUUUUGGAGUAAUUUAUAAUACUCAUUUCAGAAAGAAUGUAAAAUCCUUACUAUAGAUCAUAGAAAUGGGUACUGGUUCUCAAAAUAAGGCCCAAACCACAGUCCUUAUUGCUCAUAAGAGAAUUUCUGCCUCACCCAACUCAAAAAUACUCAUCCCUCUCAAUUCCCAUCCCAUCUAUUCCUGCGCCCUUCUUGGAGAUUUUCAAGCAAUUGAUGCUGGCAGACUUUGAGAAAAGUCAAAUGUAAGGUUUUAUUAUUUUUGUCCUUUGUUGUAAUAAAUAAAUCAAAGUUUCUCAGUUUCAUUAGGCAUAUCCAUAAAGGAAUGAAAGAGCAUAUCUGAAGUGGUUGGAGCAACUGAAAGACGUAGGGUUGAGGUCAGAUACAAACAUUUUUAUUACUUUAGAGGAGUUCUGUUCAUAAACAAAAUAUUCCUGUUUAUUACUUAUUUUUUAUGUGGAACUGAAAGCUUAUUGGAUCAAUUAUACAAAAUUAAAAGGCUCUCUUUAGCUAUUUUAAUAGAUGAUUACUUACAUAUACAAUCCCGUUGCAAUCACCAUCUUAUGUAUUCUUCUUGAUGCAACUUGAGGUAGUGUUAUCAUUUCACCAGAACAGAUGAGGAAACUGAGACCAGAAGAAGAUGAAUAACCUGCAUGUGGUCUCAUAUUUGAGCAGAUUCAAACCUGGCAAGUGUGGUGGCUCCAGAGUACAUCCUCAGAGGUCCUUACCAGUGUGACCUCUUGUGGGGAGUGCUUGUUUUAAAUACAGUCCUAAUACUUUCCUUAGCACUGUGUCAUCUUUUUUUUUCUUUUUUCCUAAGUCUUUCAGCUCCAUUUGCUCUCAACUCCAUUUUGGGCUAUUUGUCCUUGGAAAGUUUAUCUUUUCUCAGAUGUAGUCCUACCCUUUCUAAAAUACGAGCAAUAAUAUCUCCUCAGAGUUUGUAAUGAAGAUUUAAUUAAAUAAGACAGUGUAUUCCAAGCACUUAGCAUUGUGGAUCGCAUACAGCAAAUAGUCAAUAAAUUAAUGUUGCUAUGUAAUUUUUCCAUAGUGAUGCAGCUAGAAAGUAAGUCAGACCUUAGUCUGACUGGAAAACUAAGUAAAAUUAGAAAUAUACACACAUUCUCCCUCCACAAAGAACAUCAACCAUAAAACAAAACAUGCUUUUUCUGGACUGUAACACUUCCUCUCAACUAAUCAUACAUUUUGUGAUUGGUAAGUUUAAUGCUAAGGGCAAAUUUUCAAAGUGGGAUUGGAAUUCCAACUCCAUCAUUUACAGGCUAUGUGAUUUUAGACAAGUUACUUCAUCCUUCUGGGGUUCUUCACCACCAUAUUAAGCUAAUAAUAAAAUGAAAUAAGGAAAAAUUGCAUUGUAGUAUUAUGGACAUUAAAUGAUACAAGUAUAAUUAAAGGGCUCCAAUAAUUGUUGACUUUUAUUAAGAGCUGAUAGAGAUAUACCUAUUUCAUAAAACACAGUAUUCUUGUAAAAUUGAAAUGCCUGGUAAGUGAAAACUGUAGAGUUUAGAUGGUUAGGAUUUUAGUGAUUUGAUUUUUAAUUCUCCAGGAAUUUACAUGCUCUCCCUGUCAAGCUGUUUGAUGUCAUGGGUUUGUAUAGAACUGUCGUGGCAAAACGAUGUAGAGAGAAAAGACAUUAAAGACCAGAACUGAGCCAAAUAUGGUCAUAAUUUGAGAGGAAAGUUAUGACAUAACAAAAUGUAACGACUCAGAAUUGGAUACUUCUGAAGCCAGAUAAGAAUUUUAGCCACAAUUCAUUGUACAAAGUGGAAACAUUUGAUUAAAAAAGAAAAUAAUUAUGAUAAGAUGAAAGUUUGCAAAGCAAAUAGUUGUGACACAAGGACACAGGCUGGAGACAACCUUCAGAAGCCCAUGAUUAUACUCAAGACCAUUGCCAUUCAUUAAUUAUUUCAUCCUUGACCAGAUAUUUCACAUCUUAGGGCUGGCUUUCUGACUUCCAAAAUAAGGUAGCAUCUGUCUUGAUUAUUUCAAAUGACUGUUUCAAAAGGGUUAUAAAAAAGAAAAUAAUAAUGUGUUGUGUAAAUAUAAGCAGUGGUAGUCUCUCAUGCUUUCUUUGUAUUAGGUUUCCACCCCUGAAGGGAGUCUUUUUGGUACAGGGACAUCAGUUUGCGUUGUGUUGGAAAGAUGGUUAAAUAUGUUUGUUUCAGUAAUUGGUUAACUGUAGUUCUGAAGGUUGGAGGUUUGGGGUAGAGCAGGAGAAAGCAUGUGUAGACAACAUUGUCAGGGAAAUUGAAUCUCAGAUGGUGCUUGUUUAAUUUUUCCCACCUCAUUCUUCUUCAAGCUAAUGCUCCCCCAGGACUGUGGCUGAGCCUGGUAUAUUUGUGAAUGAAGUUACUGAUUAGGGAAAUCUAAGCUUCAAUGAGAUGACAUAAAAUGAUCAAAACAGAGAGCUGGAGAGUUAGAAAUAAGGUUGGCUCAACUCAUGUGUCAUUGGUAUAGCAGGCCAUGGAUGUUGGCAGAGAAAGGAGGAGAACUCAUUGAGUUGAGAAAUGUGGGGUCUGUGGAACAGAAAACACCUGAGAAAUUGAAAGUGAAGACAGAGUGUAUGUGUGUCUAUUGAGAAAUGAGUAUUCUUACAGGCUUAUUUAAAGAAAAAAGGAUGUGUUAACUUUAGAAUACUGAAUUUUAUAUACUGCAUUAGUGAAGAUAGCUUCUGGCAUGCUAUGAAGAGUCAGAUGUGAAUGGAGGAAGAAUCAUUAAACUUAAAAAUGUUACCUAAGAAGCUCUAAAUCAUGUAAAAGUUAUUCAUGACUUUUAAGUAGUCAUUAUCUUUGAUUCUUGAUAUAUUUUACUAAGGCUAAAAUAUAAACAAAUUUCUUGAUGAAGGUAGUGAUAGUAAGUUAAAUCACCAGCUUUGUAAGAAUUGUAUAGCCCUGACUACUGAACUAAGAAAAAGAGUAAGAUUGAAAAAAAGGAAGAAAGAGGAAAAAAGCAGAUUAGAAAAUACCUUGUGGUAUUUGAAUGACUCAUGAGGAUAAAACUGAAGAGGGCAAAAGAUAUUUGAAAAAUAGGUCCAUUCACUUUUAAAUAUCCAAAUUCAUUUUGUUUUAAGUUGUUUUAAGAUUAAUGAAUUGAGAUAGUUUCAGUGACAGCAUGCUGAGUUUUUUUAUUCAUAAUGAUAAAACACUUUGCUUCUUUUCUGAUUGUGGGUAGAGGAUUGCAUGAAUUAUGCCUUUUCUGUCAAAGGAAUUGAAUAAUCCACAUAAAUUAAUCCCUGAGUUACCAAAGAUAGCAUCAAUUUUUAAACUAAUACAUAUAUUAGAGAAAGGUUUCAGUUGCUUAAAAGUACAUCCACAAAUAUAUUUGAUUAAUUGUCCUUGAAGGGAAAACAAUUGAACUCAAUGUAAAAUUAGAUUUCCUACUUAAGAGCAGUGACUAUUCUUCUGGAGACUAAAAUGUUAUAUUGCCCGCAUAACAUAAUUUAAGCUCAUACACGUAUUCUGUCAUUUGACCUCAAUUCCAUGUAUAAGCAAGAAAUGGUUUUUGCUUCCUUUGCUUACAUUAGCAGAAACUAUAUAUAUUUUGACCUAGUCAUUUGGGCAGGACAAAUUACACUGCAAGUUUCAAAUAAAUUUAUUUACAAGAGAUACCCAAAUUGAUUCGCUUGCCAACAGAUUGCUGAACUAAAUUCCUAGGAAGAAUCUUCAUUUUUUAUGUAAUUUUUAUUUACAAUACUAUUCAAAUCAAAAUUUCAGUUAUUUAUCACUAGAUGAUGGGAUACAGAACACCUUGGUUCAUCAGAUUUGCUGAUUUUGAUGGUGUAAAUACAUUGUUACUGAUUUCAAGUUAGGAAAGUGAGGCCACUGAAAGUGGAAUUGAGAAAGGAUGCCUCCAGAGGGGUCAAGUAGAAAGCUAAGGGAUCACCCUAGCUACCUCAGUGGAGUUUGUGAAUGUGGUUACUAUAUGUGAGCAUAGAUGCUCCAAGCCUCCUCUUCGGUUCAGAUAGAAAAGUCCUCAGUGACUCAUCCUGAUUUAAAAGGGUAGAACAGAGUCCAGACAUUAAGUAAGUCCCUGUUUUGCAGUGCCUGCCUCUGCGUCAUUAGCACUCAGACCAGCCUCAUGCUAUAAAACUGAAAGAAGAAUAAUAUACAAACAUAUUCCCAAGGGAGGCUUAGAAAAUUAUAAUCUUAUUACCUCUUGAAAACAUUACCCUUUUUCCUCUUUGUUCAACUUUUCCCAGGAGAGCUGCUUGUAAAGUCUUCAGUAGGGUCUUCCUUCUUUUUAAUGGCAAACAAGUGCCUUAAAGGGCCCUAAUGAUUUCCUUCCUUCUGAUACCACUCUUCAGACACUUUUGUAGUAUCUUCACACUAACAGGUGUUAGUCUGAAUUUACAAUCAGAUUAGUUUGGAUUGGUCUUGGUCUUCCUCAUUCCCCCAGUGUAUCUUUCACACUUAUUUGAAGCAAAGGUAACUGCCUUGUUAUACCAAUUAUAGCAAAAGUCCACACCUAUAUCCCUCGUGGUUAAGAUUACUGGUGGCUGAAAAUGAUACGCACAUCCCAUAAUCUCUGGAAAUAGAAAUGCACAUGUUAGUAUUUUUUAAUGAAAGAACUUGAUAGGCACAAAGCCCUCCUGGCUUAAGUGAUUUAGGUCAUUCACUCAACUUGGUAUCCCCUUUCCCCUUCCUUUCCCUGUGUCUGUCCUUUUAUACUUGUCCCAGGAAUCAUCCUUUCAAUAUCUCCCUUAAUUAGCCUUCUCUGCCCUCCAGGCCUAAUUGGGUGUUCUUCCUUUUCUUCUCCUUAGUGCUCCCAUUGCAUUAUAUAUGCUUCAAUAAGUAUUUCUACAUUUUUUAUUUUGAAAAAUUUCAAACUAGUACAGUAAAUACCCAUAUACCAUUCAUUUAGGUUUGCCAAUUUUGCACACAUUUUUUUGUUUUUCUCUCUCCCUCUCAGUGCUGGGAUUGGCCUCACACAUUGCUAGCUGGGUGCUUUACCACUGAGCUGCGUUCCCAGCGUGUUGCAUUUUUAAUGUAUAACAUGCAUAUUUACAAAUAUCUGUGUGCUCAGACUUCUUUUUCUGAAUCCUUGAAGGAAAUCAGUGUCCCACACCACUACUUUUGUUAGUCACCCACUACUUUUUUACACAGAUCCUGCUAUUUUUAGAUUAAUUAUACUGCACAAUUUUUGAGAUUUAUUUCAUGACAAAUAAUUAUGAAACAACUGCUGUGUAACAGACACUGAAGUCGAAACUUGAAGUUCUCAGUGUGCAGACAGCCUGACUAUAGGAUGUUUGUGUGUGUGUGUGUGUGUGUGUGUGUGUGUGUGUGUGAGAGAGAGAGAGAGAAAGAGAGAGAGAAAGAAACAUGACAGGAUCAUAAGAGGGAGAAAAUGUUACAUUUGAAAGCAGAGAAAAGAGCUCCUAUAUCCAGAUCUGUGGAAGUACCAUCAUUCAUCCAUUUAUUGAUUCAUCCAGUCACUACCAUGUAUCCUUUACUCUAUGUUAGGCUCUGUGUAUACACAACUGAGAUUCUGAACCUUUAAAGAACCUGAUCUUAAGUAGGGGACUGAGAAGAUCUUCAAAGAAUACAGUGGAAUGUGAUUGUUGAUGAGAACUGGAUACUUUGUAUACAGAGGAAAGGGAAACAGGGAGUGUGCCUGAGUAUUUCUGGUAAUGCUUGGGUGGUAAUUUUCAGGAUAAAGAGGAGUAAAGUAGGCAGGUAAAGACUGAGAAAGCACACUUAAACUGAGACAUCAGUAUAUUUUAAGCGGAAGAAACCUGAAAGAAUAUAGAAUGUUCCAGGAACUGGUAGAAGUUUAAUGUAAGGGGGUGGCAAAUGCUAAGAGGCAGUCGUGAGAAAAGGGAAGGCACAGGGCUACAGGCUUAGGUCCAGGCUGUGAGGGACCUUCUGAGUUCAGAUUAACAGUUUGAAAGCCAUGAGACACCAGUGAGCAAUUCAGGUGGGAUUGUGACAGAUACUAGAUUUGUGUUUAAAUAAUCUUACUCUGAAGAAGACUUUGACAAUGAUUGAUCUUGAUAUUUUUAUUUUGGGGAGAUUAAAUCUCUCUUUCAUAGGAAGCUAGCUGUUAUAUUAAAAGUGAUUCAGAGACAGAUUUAGGUAAUUGUUGUACAUUCAAUAAAUUAACCAAAUAAUGGAUGCCUCAGCCGGUUUCUCUCACCUAAGAAUUUUAUUUUCUUUCAGAUUUUUUUUCCACAGGAAAGCAACAUCUAAUAUUAAAUAUAUUACUUGCAGCAAGGAGAUAGUAGUUUCUUCAGCUAACAUUAAGAGAGGGUGGGAGGGAGGAGAGAGGAAAAAGGAAUAAUUGUACAGCUGGAUUUGUAGGAUACUGGGAUGUCAUUUAAAUCUUUUUGUUGUUGCAAAAUUUUUUGUUGAGUAAAUGAGUAGGAAUUAAUCAAUGAAAACAUGAGAGUGAGUCUGAGACUUCAUAACUGAUGCAGUGUUAUGUUUAUUGAACCAAUUAAGCCUGAUUGACAUGCAGAUUGCAGCAGCUCUGACACUGCACCCUUUGCUCACAGCACUGAGGUUCUCUGCUUCUUCAGUUCAGGUCCACUGGCAGGAUCAAUGAGCUGCAGGAAUCUUGUCAGAGAUAGCAUUACUGGGGUUGCUUAUGCAGAUAUAAAAUUAUAUGACAUAAAAUCAAAAAAGUUACCUAGCUAUUGGUUUUAACAAAUUAUAUUUGUUUUAUACUCCCACAAAUAGUCAGAUAGCAUAGGUUACACUUGCAGUUUAUUGCCUCAAAAGAGCCUGUCAGUUUGAUUUCUGAAGGAUAUAAAGUUACUAAGUUGCCUUGCAGUACUGGGUUCCUCAGCUGAAACACCUAUUAGUAUUUUGGAUCUCAUAAGUAUUUGUGGGAAGGGGUUGUCCCUUGCAUUGUAGAGUACUUAUCAUCCCUGGUCUCCAUCUACUCCACUCCACUAGCAUUUCUGCCCCACCUCCAGUUGUUAUACCAGACAAGUCUAGAUGCCCUCUGGAGGGCAAAGGUACCCCUUCUUGAGAAGCACAGGUAGAUACAUUUAUGAGUUAGGAAAAAUAGUAGUUCAGUUACCCUUCCCAUAAUGUAUAUUUAUUCAUUUCUAAAUCCAUGAAAAUACCUAUAUACUACAAGUAUAUAAAACAUGUAAAACAAAUGCAUGUUUCUCAAUAUUACACACACAUACAUAUAUAUAUAGAGAGAGAAUGGUUUGGAACUUUGAGUGCUCAAAGUUAGGGAAUAUUUCAUAGAAUUAACAAGUCUGAAAUACUUGUUGAAUUUUUGUCUUAGACCAGUGUUAAACUGUUUCUAGCCAUCCUUUUUUCUUUUGGACUUAUUACCAUGUUAAUUGUACAAAUUAAUGGGUUUCACUGUGAUACUUCUAUACACCAUGCAUUGGUCAUGUCUAUCCACCGUUAUUUUCAGUAAACACCUAGGAAGUGCUGUGUGCCAGGCAUUCUGGUGCUAAACUAAGGGCUUUCACUACAAGGUUUUGUUUAUUUUGUAAACAGUCCUAUUCAAACAGGUAUUGGUAGCCCUAUUUUAGAUUGGAAAAAUCUAAAACUUAAAGUCUAAACACAGAUCAUAAAGCUAGUUCAUACUGGAAUUAAAGAUUGGGUCUUCAUGCUAUAAUUAUUUCUGGUUUGGGGGAAUUCUUUUGUUCUGUUUCUCUUUUUUGGCUCUGGGUGUCAGACACAGGGUCUCGAACAUAUUAGGCAAUCACUCUCCCACUGAGUUACAUCCUCAGCCCUACAGUCAUUUCUUUAUUUGAUAUAUUCAACAUGUACCUACAGUGUACCAGGUACUUUUUUUCUGUUGAGAAAAUGUCAGUACCUGCUCUUUUGUAGAUAAUAUCUUCAAUAGAUCUUCAUAUUUCAUUAUUUUUCAUACUGUUUCUGAACCAAAUUAAGAUCGAGAUUAAUUCAUACACAGCCCAGAAAAUGUAAUUUAUGUAUAUAUAGUAGCCAUAUUUCAUCAAAACCUUUCUCCUAAAAAGUAUAUUGGGUAAGUAGAUUUUUUUGUUCCCACAAUAUGUUACAAAUUUAACAUUCCCUUGUUCCUCAUGUACAAUUCCUGGAAUACAGUUGCUUCUUUCUGUAAUUUGGCCAAAUAACCUAGAAAAUAGAGACUACUAACUGCCUGUAUUUUACAGCCUAAUUUGUAAUAUCUUUGUUUGGCAGUGCCUGCAUCUUUUAUGUUUAAAAUUCCUUAAGACAAGGACAUCUGUACACAAUGUAGCUCUAGUGUGACUUACAAUAACUUUGUGUUUUUGUUAUCUCAGUGAGAGUUCACUCGCAAGGAGACAAUGCAUCCUUUGUAACUACUAGUAAAACACUGCACAGUAUGACAUGUGUAGCAUAUGCACAGAGUAAUGGAAGUCAGAAAGGAUAAGUUCAGUGUCUGCUUGUUACCAGUCCAGAAAUCCACUUCCAUCAGACUUGGUGUGGAAGAUAGGAGAAAAUUUACUUGUGAAUGACAAAAUUUCAUUCUUCUUUGUGGCUGUGUAAAAUUCCAUUAUGUAUAAAUACCACAUUUUCUUCAUCCAUUCAUCAGU